This is a long non-coding RNA of Triticum aestivum (bread wheat), 4668 nucleotides long. RefSeq lists it as uncharacterized. The record is from RefSeq and is a predicted model, not a curated record. The transcript has 3 exons. NCBI's taxonomy places the organism in Eukaryota, Viridiplantae, Streptophyta, Magnoliopsida, Poales, Poaceae.
GGCCCUGGUUGGACGAGGGCGCCUGCUUCUCUUCACUCCCCCGAUUGGGUGAAACCCUAGCCAACGCUCCCCAAUCCCCAUCACAUCCCUCUCCUUCGCUCCCGCCGCCGCGCUCCCGUCCUCCCUUCCCCCCCUUCCCAGUCGCCGCACGAGGUGGACUGCGACCCACGCCCCUGUCGUCUCCUCUGCCCAGCCAAUCACCCCUCCUCUGUGUGCCUCCCUCCUCCUCCUCCUCCUCAUUGGGACCGGGCAAGGGGAUGAGUGCGGGCCGCAGAGACGACAAGGUGGCUGAGCUAUCCACGGCGCCGUCAUCGUUCGUCCGGACUCAGCAGGAGGAGUGCUGGCCAUGGGGAUGGAAGAGGGAGCCAGCCAUCCGCCGUGUCGUGGCCGCCAUCCAGGAUGAGACGCUCAUCCACACGCGGCAAGCCUUGGACUAGGACGCGCCACGAGAAGCAGACGGGGAGGCCAUUGCCAGCUGGUCCGAGAUCUGAGCGCACCCGUCGCCGCCGCCGUUCGUUGUCCACUUGGCUGCAGCCAUCCCCAAGAAGAGGGGAUGUCACGGCAGCGGGAUCCUCGCCUGUCUCCACUCCCUCACCUCCCCGUUCUGCUGGCAAGGGUGUGGUAUCCCAUGGGGGGUGCUUCUCGCUCGAGGAGUAACCACUCCAGAGCAGGAGCAGGACAGGUUCGUUCAUGCUCUAUCUACUCAUGUGCUUGCUAUACUUGCUGGAGUAGGUAUAUGGUUCCUGCGUGUGUGGUUUGGUGUCUGGGUUUUUCCCAAUUCCAGUCCAGAAGCAUGGAUUUAGGGAUUAUCUUACUUGGUUUUGGGUGCGGCUGCUGGUAGGCAAACCAUUUUGUAAGGGCCUCUAUCUGUGCACCAUGAUUUUAGUCUUCAGGUAAUCUGUUUUAGAUACUAGAUUUGUAAAUAUGAAAUGUGCUUGGAGUUACUUUUCUUUCCUUUUUUUAUUCAUUUGUCAGGAUUUAUCCUUUUCUACAACUAUGUACUUGGCGCUUGAGUUUCACUGUACUUCAAAGUUAUAUAGAGCACUAUAUAUGAGUAUAUGAUUGGCUAGCAGUUCCCUUCAGGAUACAUGUGCUAGGUUUCAAUGUCUUCAUUUCCUUGCUUUAUUUGUUAGGUGUCUCAUUUUUUCUCUGUCUCGCAAGAUAUAAUAUGCAGAGGCAAAUAAAAAAUGUACCCGAUAAACUGAUCCGCACUGUAACAAGAUAAGUGGGGUUUAGCUCCCAAAAUAUUGCAAAGCUUAAAUCCUAUAUGGUUUCAGUAGAAAAUGGUCACACAAAAACAAAUUGAUGGAAAUGGGAUUUGCAGGAUGUACUUAUGAUUUCCAGGCUUCUAUACUGUCAGUGAUAUGUUCCUCUUGGCGUCAUCUAGAUCUUUAGAGAGUGACUGAAAAUUGUCUUACAUCCUGUUACAUCAAAUGAAGUGACUUGAAAUUCUCAAAUGACAAAUUAACAUGGGCUUUUGAGCAUAUAACACAUUGCUAGAAACAUUUCCUUGGAGAAAAUGGGGAACUGAAGCAUAGGUGUUAUAGUGAAUACUAAAAUUUACAUGUUGCGUCUUUUGGUCUUUUGCUUAGAUGUUGACAAAGGAGUAUGUGAGAGAAGAUUAUGGUCAGGGAACAUUAAUGCAGAGUGUCUACUCCAGUCUUUCACCAGCACAGUGUAACUGAACAUGGAAAUAUCAAGCACACAGAUCUGGUUUUCCUAUGCCUGGGUGUCUUCUCUUUCAGUCUGUUCCUGCUUUUUGUGUGUUGAAUUGCUCAUUCAUCAUAGCUUGCUGCAUGUUCAGUCUUUCACAUUUAGGAACCAUAAGAAUGGAGAAGUUCCAGAAAAGUUUGUCGAUCAGCUCAUGAUUAUACUUGAGGGAAGGAUCUAUGAAAUUCGAAGGUUCCUACUUUUUCCGAGGAUUUUACAUGCUAAAAUUUGAAAGUAUACAUCUGUUGUUGAAAGGGACAAGUUUAGGGUUUAGCAGAGUUAGCGGCGGUCCUACAUGAUAUUGGUACAUUAACAAUGCCCUACCUGAUAUCACUGAUUUCCUUCAAGGUUACUUCAUCUUGUUUCGGUUGAUAGAUUGCCUACACAAUCUUCUAUGCCAUGCAGGAUAGAGUUUAUUACAAUUCGUGCUUUGUGGUUUCUUGAAAUGGUUUUUAGAUCAAGAUUUAUACAUGCUCCUACUCUUCAUAAAGAGGUAACGAUUUGGUUCUCAUUUAUACUUUCUGCUGGACUUAAGCUAGGUUGAAAGGACUAAAGGCAGAGAGGUGUUAAUUUAUUACAUAUGGUUGCCUUUCUGCAUUCUGUCAGUCUCCACUGCUAACAUGUGUCAGACAAAAAAGCAAAAGUAACUUAGUUAGUUACAUGAAGCAUAUUGGGUUAUGAAAAAGAUGGUUAAUUAGAUACGAAGGCCAUGCUCAACUGCUUAUUCUUCGUGCUUGGUCCGCCUGAAUUCUAUAGCUACUUCCUCCGGUCCGAAUUAAUUGACGCAGCCUCUAUUUAUAGAGGCUGUGUCAAUUAAUUCGGAUUGGAGGGAGUACUGAAAUAUAUACAAUGCCAUGAUUAGUUUAUGAGGCCCUGUUUUGCUAAGCUAUCUUAAUUGUGUACACAUACUGUUGAUCAAAUUUCCAUAUCCUGAGUUGCUAAUUAUUGUUGGGAUAAAUAAAGGGACUGAUCUUUCGUACUUGUCUUCACGCACGUUUUCAUUUGCCUGAUUUAAUAACCUUGUUUGAUAUAUAGUUCAUGAUUUGGUACAAGCUAUCAAUUGUACUUGGUUGCCUACCACCCAGUUUAUUAAGAUGCUAUUAGUGGCUCUUUUUUAUGUUCUCCUUUCAGAGUUGUACCAAGGCCUACCACUUCUUUGGCCGCCAAUGUAAUUUCUAUCCAGCGCCUAUCUCUCUUACCAGCUUCCAAGGGAGUCCGGGGUGACGAGGGUGAUGGCACUGGCUCCGACAUAACAGAGUCAUGCCGCCUAAGAUGCCGGUUUACCUUAGCAACUUAGCCCAAUAUGGCUAAUUAAAUCAACAAUGGGAAAAGCUCGAAGUUGUCUUCGUCGCAACCAUUGAUCACAGGUUCAUACCAGCAAAAGUUGCAGGUAGGACCUGCUUUAUGCAUUGCUCAUGUUGUGUCCUUUACCCUUGUGAGUUUUGCACAAAAGCUUCUUCAGUCCUAAACUAAGGGUCAGUUUUUGCUCUACCAAUGCUGCAUGGAACACUGUUCUAAACAUAAUAUAACUAAGUUGCCUGAUGAAUAAAGUUUUUAGAAGUUAUGAGCGGAAAAUCCAAGCGGAAAAUUUUGGCCAUCGAAAGUAGAAUUUGAUUCAUUCCAUGAUCAGGGUCAAGGUGCUUUUCCCCCAAGGUAGUCACUGUGGUUUUAUUUCUGGCUUAUGCAUAUGCUCUUAUAUUAGUUUUCAGUGUCAUCACAAACAAGGGAUAUAUCAGAGUAGUGUCAUGUAGUAAUCAAAAAUGGAGAGGAAGUUAAGGACUUGGUAAUUACUCCUACAUAGUAAUCAUGGCUAGAGGACUGAAAGAGGAAGUACAUUUGCCUUAGCCUUGAAGGUGGCCGAAGGUUAUGUGUGCAUCUUCUUUUGUUCUUUUUUCUGUAUUUUUCUGGACAACCUAGGGUGUUUUUGAGCAUAUAUCACUAGCUAUGAUCGACUCAUUUGACAAGGCUACAUAUGGGAGUAUGACUUAUGUGUAAUCAUAGUAUAUGAUACUUUUGAUUAUAGUCGUGGUAAUCUGGCCUUUAUAGUGCAUAUAGCUAGCUCUGAUUGGUUAAUUUGUCAAGGCUACUACACGUGGUUGUAUCCUCGAUUAGCAUGACUUAUCUUAUGUGGAGUAGUAACACCAUAUGAUAGUUGGUUAGUUGCUUAGGUUCUCCUGGUUUGUGAUGGAAAUCUGCAACGCACUGUAGGUUUUAUUGGUCCAUGACAAUGGUAUACCCAUGUUUACCUAUACAAUGUCAAACAGUUGUUGUUUGUACCUUCUACAGGCUGAUGCAAUAUUGAUUUCUAUUCACACGAUAGCUUGUGAUUAUUAUAAGGAACAUUGGAUCUUUUCACAAUGUAUGAUUGUAUGAAUGAUCCGUGGGACAUAUGAAGGUUGUGCGAAAUAAUUUGUGCAGGGUAUAGCAAACCGAUUAGUGCGGUGUGCUUUGAAGAGAGCCAAAAGGAAGAGAGAGGCGAGUGUACAUGACCUGAAGACGGCAAGGCAACACUUCCACGACGACGUCAACAUCGUCGUGGUCUAUCUUCAGCGGCACCGGCACCGGGCCGUCAGAUCAGGGUCAUGGAGCGGUAACUGCAAAGAUAGAGCCCCAAAGUAUCACUCUGUAGGUGAAUUGUAUGAUGGGUUACAGAUUUUACUUAUAAGACAACAUGUACUGCCAACUAUUCCUCCGUUCAAAAAUAGAUGACUCAACUUUGUAUUAACUUUAGUACAAAGUUCCCCGCAAAAAAAAAAAACUUUAGUACAAAGUUGAGUCAUCUAUUUUGAAACGGAGGGAGUACAAUUUAAAGCAUAUCUGGUAUUUUCGUAUUCUUUGUCGUGUGUAGAAUACAUGGUCUGAUAGGGUCAGCGUUUGUAUGAACUUUUGGUGGAUAAAGUGUUUUGUAUCUCAAGCAAGUUCAUCAUUGAACACAAUAAUUAGAUUGUGUUUUCCUAA